RNAcentral lists this ribosomal RNA (116 nucleotides) under Pteropus alecto (black flying fox). The record is from RNAcentral. Lineage: Eukaryota; Metazoa; Chordata; Mammalia; Chiroptera; Pteropodidae.
GUCUAUGGCCAUGCCACCCUGAACAAGCCCAAUGUCUGAUCUCGGAAGCUAAGCAGGGUCGGAUCUGGUUAGUACUUGGAUGGGAGACCACUGAGGAAGAUUAGGUGCUGUAGGCA